Molecule: ribosomal RNA, 489 nt
Filed under: uncultured bacterium
Lineage: Bacteria
Description: partial 16S ribosomal RNA
Rfam family: Bacterial small subunit ribosomal RNA
Source: RNAcentral
GACGAACGCUGGCGGCGUGCUUAACACAUGCAAGUCGAACGGAAAGGCCCCCAUCUUGGUGGGGGUGCUCGAGUGGCGAACGGGUGAGUAACACGUGGGUGAUCUGCCCUGUACUUCGGGAUAAGCUUGGGAAACUGGGUCUAAUACCGGAUAGGACCAUGGUUUAGUGUCUCAUGGUGGAAAGAUUAUUGUUUUGGUGCAGGAUGAGCUCGCGGCCUAUCAGCUUGUUGGUGGGGUAGUGGCCUACCAAGGCGUCGACGGGUAGCCGGCCUGCGAGGGUGGACGGCCACAUUGGGACUGGGAGACGGCCCAGACUCGGACGGGAGGCAGCAGUGGGGAAUAUGGCACAAUGGGCGCAAGCCUGAUGCAGCGACGCCGCGUGGGGGAUGACGGCCUUCGGGUGGUAAACUCCUUUCGUUAGGGACGAAGCCGCACUUUUUUUGGGUGUGGUGACGGUACCUUUGUGAAGAAGCACCGGCUAACUACGUG